Molecule: ribosomal RNA, 763 nt
Filed under: uncultured bacterium
Lineage: Bacteria
Description: bacterial SSU rRNA
Rfam family: Bacterial small subunit ribosomal RNA
Source: RNAcentral
AUUGAACGCUGGCGGCAUGCCUUACACAUGCAAGUCGAACGGUAACGCGGGGCAACCUGGCGACGAGUGGCGAACGGGUGAGUAAUGCAUCGGAACGUGCCCAGUAGUGGGGGAUAGCCCGGCGAAAGCCGGAUUAAUACCGCAUACGACCUACGGGUGAAAGCGGGGGAUCGCAAGACCUCGCGCUAUUGGAGCGGCCGAUGUCGGAUUAGCUAGUUGGUGGGGUAAAGGCCUACCAAGGCUACGAUCCGUAGCUGGUCUGAGAGGACGACCAGCUACACUGGGACUGAGACACGGCCCAGACUCCUACGGGAGGCAGCAGUGGGGAAUUUGGACAAUGGGCGCAAGCCUGAUCCAGCCAUGCCGCGUGCGGGAAGAAGGCCUUCGGGUUGUAAAACCGCUUUUGUCAGGGAAGAAACGGUCUGAGUUAAUACCUCGGACUAAUGACGGUACCUGAAGAAUAAGCACCGGCUAACUACGUGCCAGCAGCCGCGGUAAUACGUAGGGUGCAAGCGUUAAUCGGAAUUACUGGGCGUAAAGCGUGCGCAGGCGGCUUUGCAAGACAGAUGUGAAAUCCCCGGGCUCAACCUGGGAACUGCAUUGUGACUGCAUCGCUCGAGUGCGGCAGAGGGGGAUGGAAUUCCGCGUGUAGCAGUGAAAUGCGUAGAUAUGCGGAGGAACACCGAUGGCGAAGGCAAUCCCCUGGGCCUGCACUGACGCUCAUGCACGAAAGCGUGGGGGAGCAAACAGGAUUAGAUACCCU